AACGAACGCUGGCGGCAGGCCUAACACAUGCAAGUCGAGCGCCCUUUCGGGGGAGCGGCGGACGGGUGAGUAACGCGUGGGAAUAUGCCCUUCUCUACGGAAUAGCCUCGGGAAACUGAGAGUAAUACCGUAUACGCCCUAUGGGGGAAAGAUUUAUCGGGGAAGGAUUAGCCCGCGUUGGAUUAGGUAGUUGGUGGGGUAAUGGCCUACCAAGCCGACGAUCCAUAGCUGGUUUGAGAGGAUGAUCAGCCACACUGGGACUGAGACACGGCCCAGACUCCUACGGGAGGCAGCAGUGGGGAAUCUUAGACAAUGGGGGCAACCCUGAACUAGCCAUGCCGCGUGAGUGAUGAAGGCCUUAGGGUUGUAAAGCUCUUUCAGCUGGGAAGAUAAUGACGGUACCAGCAGAAGAAGCCCCGGCUAACUCCGUG
This 431-nucleotide ribosomal RNA is filed under the name uncultured bacterium. Its description in RNAcentral is "partial 16S ribosomal RNA". It matches the Rfam family "Bacterial small subunit ribosomal RNA", at positions 29 to 507 of the family's 1533-position model. The record is from RNAcentral.